CGACAGUUAUUCUUACCAAGGGAAUAUAUUGAUUCAUUCUGAUCAAUGGUCAGGUUUUGGUAAAGGGACGGAGUACUGAGGAGAUUCGGCACCCCGAGUUCAUCCAUCGAACAAGGAUCAUCCACAGAAGAAAGAAUUUCCAGUUAACUGGAUGGCGAGCCAACCUACAGAACUCUGAAAGGAGAUUGCAAAGACUACCUCAUCUAAGACCGAUUUCCUUCGGUGCUUCUCUUGGUGCGGUAGGACAGAUAUCGAAACACACACUCACCUGGAUUGGGCCCCAACGAUCGAUCCAACGACUUAACAAAAAGACUAAAACAAACUGACACGACUGGACUCAAAACACUUUGAAAGGGGGGAAAUUAUUUUACGCGCGCACUUUAUUUUUCUUUUGUUAUUGUCAUUUCUAAAUUGUGCUCUGUUAACUUGACACUGCAGUUAUUGUGUUAAUACACGCAUUGUCAAAAAGCCA
Long non-coding RNA from Notolabrus celidotus (New Zealand spotty), 472 nucleotides. RefSeq lists it as uncharacterized. The record is from RefSeq and is a predicted model, not a curated record. The transcript has 2 exons. Lineage: Eukaryota; Metazoa; Chordata; Actinopteri; Labriformes; Labridae.